Molecule: long non-coding RNA, 892 nt
Filed under: Homo sapiens (human)
Lineage: Eukaryota; Metazoa; Chordata; Mammalia; Primates; Hominidae
Description: non-protein coding lnc-TAAR9-3:1
Source: RNAcentral
AGGGCGCGCCGCGUCCCGUCCGGUCCCGUCCCGUUCCGUCCCGUCGGGUCCCAGCCCCGCCAACUCUCACCCUGCCCGGCCCUUCCAGCGGAUCCACUUGCAGCCCCCGACCCCUGACUUGGUCCCCGAGGUCGGGGCUCGGUGGGAAGGAAAGCGAGGGGCUUCCCGGAAAGAAAGGGAGGAGGAGGCAGGAGGAGGCAGACGCCGAGAGAGGAGAAAAGGAGGCCAGAGGCAGAGGGAAAAGGAGGAGGGCAAGAGAAUCCUAGAGCGGGAAGAGCGUGGGCUCUGCGGGACGUGGGCGAGAGGUUACCAGGGAAAGAAUGGACAUUGACGGCAGAGAGCAAGUUUAGCCUGGAGAGGAGGAAUUGAGUGAGCAAAGGGGGUAGUCUGGGGUGCGAUGCACAGAAAGGCCCGUCCAGGGUAACCUUCACGUCUCCGUAUCCGUUGCUGUCGACUUUCCAGAGCCUUUGUUCCCAGUGACGUCCCUAUUGCAAUGGAGGGACACACUUCACUUUCCCCAGCCCCCCACCUCGAGAAUUUCUCUCACCCUCCCACCCUGCGGGGCCGCAGAGCUUGCUCCUCACGGCAGGAGUUGGAGCCCUGACGCUUGCCUUCACCUAGUUUUUGUUUGGUUUGGUUUGGCGUUGAUGGGACAAAGUCAGCCAAACUACUUUGCCAUCAGCAGAGAAGGAUACGGGAAUAUUUGAUCAUGUCUGGAAGGUGACCUGUAGGUGGAUCUGCUUACCAAAGUGCUCAGGGACUUGCCUGGGAAGGGACUUUUCCCAAGGAGAGAUUGGAUCAAGGUCCGCAGGGCUGGCCAAUGGCAAUAGGCCAGCAUCAGAGAAGAGUGAUGUUGGAACCGCAAAAUAAAAUGAGAAAUAAAAGAGCCUGC